GCGCCCUAAAGCUAUCUAAUUUCAACAGUUAAAAUAAGUAAUACCUAUCUUAGUAAUACAUAUUAAAACCAUCAAAAAUAAUUAAGCGGCCUUAUUACAUUUAAAAACCCAAAACUUCAAACGUAAAUAAAAGGAUGUCCAAUUCACUAGAAGAAAAUCAAACUUUCAGAACAGGUGGCCACUCCGAAUUCCCUCACAGCUCCAAGCCCACUAUGGUUGGGGAUUUCCUGCGUGGAUAAAAAUAAAAGGGGUGAGUUUGGGGAAACUCAGUGUGUAAGGAAAACCCAUUCAAAGCUCAAGUCAGCUCAAGCCUAUUGGGCCUAAGCCCAUUCAGGUAACAGUGGUACUGGACCAGAGCCCUUUUCAGAUUACAAUAAACUGGGCCUUAGCCCCUUAUUCAGAAAACAGUAUGGCCCAUAGGCCCAUUUCAAAAUACAUGCAACAUCAAUAACAUAUGGAAGCCCAUUUGGGGAGACUACUCAACCCACCAACCACUACACUCCAUCCGUACCAGCCAUACACUCCAUGUGGGGAAUAGCUCAACCCACCCAGCCCAACACUCCACAGUUGCAGCCUUGCUGCUCAGUUAACAGUAAAUUGAGGCAAAGCCUCCAGUAUGUGGACAAGCCACUUUCAGUACUUCCUCCGUCAAUAUCCCAGUCCCAUGCAUCAGAUAAUAACAACAUGGCAUGCAGUAAAUAACAACAGUCAAACAUGCAUUUAGGUAAAUUUAACCCUAGGGGUAUUUCGGUAAUUUAUCUCUUAGGGGUAAAACUGUAAAUUUUCCACUUUUAAAGGUAUUUCAGUAAUUUAUCUAUUUUAGGAUUUUUCAUGCAUAUUCCUACUUUUCUCGUACUAACAGAAUCACGUACCGAGGGUUCUUACCGAAUUGGGCCCGUUGGCCCAUCAUUCCAAUUUUGGCCCAUUAAGCCCAAAAAUAUCGAGGGCACAGAAAUCAUGCACUUUGCAGUUCAAAUUUUACAGCUUACCAAAAACAUUAAUCGAUUUCCUCACGAGCAUUCGCACUCUCGCAAAUCUACAAAAUACCUGUUUUUGGCAUUUCGGCUUUUCGGCUUUUGCCGAUCUAGACUAAGAAAGAGGGUGUUAGUUACACACCUGUUUGCGACGAUAUGCUGACGAGAUCCACACACGAACCGCCUACAAUUGGAUUACUAACACGUUAAUCUAACUAUUCAAAUAAAAACUACGUAUUAACCCCUUACAAUAUUCGGCCAACCACACCUACAGAUCAUAGUAAGCUUAUAAGAAAUCAAUAAGCAACUCAUUAACAAAUUUUUGUCAAUGUUUACCACAUAAUCAUAAUUUCACUGCAAGCUGUCUUCCUGAGCAACAAUCACUAAAUCAUUUAUAACUGGAGCUACGAAACUCCAAAUCAAGUGCCGUUAAUUUUCCCUGAAAAUAGACUCAUAUAUCUUAUAUCCAUAAAAUUUUCAGAAUUUUUGGUUUGGCCAAUCAAUACCAGAUUUUUUCUUAAGGUUUCCCAUGUUUCACUAUUUGACUAAUCUGACCACUCUUCAUUAUGAAUCAAAUUUCUCAUUGUACAGAAUUCAAAAUAUGUUCUCGUUUAUUUCAUUUGAAACUAGACUCAUUAAUAUUUAAUUACAUAAUUUAUUCACCUUCUAACUCAUCUCUCACAAUUUAUGGUGAUUUUCCAAAGUCACAUUACUGCUACUGUCCCAAGCAGAUUUAUUACCAAAUCACUCUUUCACACAUAACUUGCAUGCAUGUUAUUUAAACAUGUAUAUCACCAAUCAAUCAUCACAUAUCUAUGAUUUUACUUAAGUAUAAUCUCCAUUUCAUCAUUUUAAAGCACAACAUGUUAGCUGAUUUUUCCCUUUAACAUCUAAGGCACAUGCAUGCUUAUUUGUUUGGCUCAACUUCACCUAUCUUCCAUUUUUCAUCAAAAGAACAUGAAACAACAACCAUUUCCUUCAUUUUAAUUCAUGACUAAAUGCUCACAACACAACUAAAAACCAAAAUAUGCUUCAAGAGUUAAGGUAGAAUCAAGAAGAACUCAUGAACAUCAAGAUAGAAGCAAACUACCAUGAACUUACCUUCAAUUUUCUUCCCCAAGUGACCGAACAUUCAAGAGCUUUCUCCUCUCCUUUCUCUUCUCUAACUUUAGGCUAUGAUGAACAAAGAUGGACAAAACUUUGUUCUUUUCACCCCUUUUUCUUUUAAUAAAAUUUCAUAUUUCAUCCAUUUAAUUCUUUAAUACAAAAGACAUGAAAUGCCCAUCAUGGAACAUUUACCUAAACCAUUAUCAUGGAACAUUUACCUAACCCAUUAUCAUGGAAUAUUUACCUAAUCCAUUAUCAUGGAACAUUUACCUAACCCAUUAUCAUGGAAUAUUUACCUAAUCCAUUAUCAUGGAACAUUUACCUAACCCAUUAUCAAUUUGUACCAUGAAUUAUGGAUAUCAAGUGCUCAUAUUGUCUACAACAACAUGAUGGCUAGCCACUUCAUGUAAAAUGGGAGGUUUGUCAUGCAAAUCCUCCUAUUUUGCACUCCUAUUUAUUUGGCCAUUUCAAUUUAGCCUAUAGCAUUUUCAAACAUUUUCACAUAGGUCCUAUUUCAUAAUUUCACUCACAAAUGACAAAAUCAAAGCAUGAAAUUUUGCCAACAUUCACAGAAUUCCCGAAAAUUGGGGCGUUACAUACUCAGAAUCACAUAUAUUACAUACAAUGCCAUAUUCCAGAUAUGGUACCUUACAUGUUAUCACAUAUCAAUGCCUCUAUCCCAGAAAGGGUCUUACACAUAAUCUCAUAUCGAUACCAAUGUCCCAAACAUGGUCUUACAUGAAAUCACACCUCGGAAGUCCUAAUGUCAUGACAUUAAUAUCCUAUACUAUUCCUAAGGUUCAUACGAGGCUUUCAACUUUGUAACUCAAUCAAUUCAUGCUCGAAACAAGUCCUCCAAUGCUCAAUUCAAUUCAGAAACAUAUACAAAUAUAUAUUUAAAUUUAAAAACAUUUAUUUGCAUAUGAACUUACCUCGUACAGAAACGAACAUAUCAAAACAACUAUUCAACAACUUUCGACUUCCCCGAUCCAAAUCCGAUUUCUUUCUUUCUUGAUCUAAAUAAAUUCAAAUUUAACUUAUUUAAUCACAUAUUCAUUCAAUUUCACCCAAAAACAUAUAAAUGGGCAUUUUUCACUUUAGCCCCUAACAUUUCACAUUUUCACAAUUUAGUCCCUAUUUCAAAACAACACAAAAUACAAAAAAUUUCAUCAAACCCAAGCAUGGCCGAAUCUUUCCUAGGUCUUUAGCAGCCCAUUAAUUCUAUUUAUUUCACAUUUUAACCCCUCAAUUUACAAAUUUUACAAUUUAAUCCUUAAUAAGCAUUUUUAUAAAAAAUCACUUAAUAAACUAUGAAAAUCUAACAACAAAUAUUUAUUCUUCAUCAUCAAACAACAAAAAGCUUGAAUAUUCAUCAAUGGAAUUUGAAAAAUUCAUCAUCAAAUCCGAAAAUUAAAGCAUGGGCUAGCUAAUAUAUAAAUCAACGAUCUCAAAAAAGUAAAAAUUAUCAAAAACCGAGCAAAUAACAUACCUAAAUCAAGCUUCCUAGGCGCCGAACUUAAAAACUUCAACAAUGGUUUCUUUUCUUCUCACAUUCGG
Molecule: long non-coding RNA, 3638 nt
Filed under: Gossypium barbadense (sea-island cotton)
Lineage: Eukaryota; Viridiplantae; Streptophyta; Magnoliopsida; Malvales; Malvaceae
Description: long non-coding RNA (GBAR_LNC011097)
Source: RNAcentral